UACGUAGGGUGCGAGCGUUAAUCGGAAUUACUGGGCGUAAAGCGUGCGCAGGCGGUCUGUUAAGACCGAUGUGAAAUCCCCGGGCUUAACCUGGGAACUGCAUUGGUGACUGGCAGGCUUUGAGUGUGGCAGAGGGAGGUAGAAUUCCACGUGUAGCAGUGAAAUGCGUAGAGAUGUGGAGGAAUACCGAUGGCGAAGGCAGCCCCCUGGGUCAAGAUUGACGCUCAUGCACGAAAGCGUGGGGAGCAAACAGG
This 254-nucleotide ribosomal RNA is filed under the name uncultured bacterium. RNAcentral describes it as "partial 16S ribosomal RNA". It matches the Rfam family "Bacterial small subunit ribosomal RNA", at positions 524 to 776 of the family's 1533-position model. The record is from RNAcentral.